Molecule: RNA transcript, 2216 nt
Organism: Triplophysa dalaica
Lineage: Eukaryota; Metazoa; Chordata; Actinopteri; Cypriniformes; Nemacheilidae
Exons: 5
Source: RefSeq, a predicted model, not a curated record
GGAGAUGAACACAGCAUGGCCUCCUCCUGCUGUCCUCUGCAUGCUUCAGGGGUUUAAAUUGGGUUUGCUAAAGCCUUAGGGUGACGGACUGAAACUUUAAAACAAAUUAUUUAGUUAUAAUGUCCUUAAUAUUUAAGUUAGUUGCUUUAACUUAUUUCUUUAUGCGUUAAUGCAAAAGUUAUUAACUCAGAGAUGGAGUUCAGUAGGACAAGAUUUAACCUUUCAUAGAAAAGCGCAGUGAAGUUUUCAAAUAUGAGUUUAGAACAAUGUCCUUACUGUGGAAAGCCCUUCAAAAGGCUGAAAUCUCACCUUCCUCAUUGCAAAAUGGCACCAUUUGCUCAAGCAAUGAAAAGCACCCAAACACCCCAAGAUCUUCCCGAGAAGAAUGCAAUCUCUUCUAAACAGAAGUUCAAUAAAAAGAUAUUAACAGAGAAGAAUCAUUUAAUCUUUGAUGACAGGCAGACUUCCAUCGACAGGAGGAAAGAGGAGUUGAUUGUAAAUAAAAAGUCUGUUCACAAUGCAGAAAACUCUAUAGCAACUACUGAAGUCACAUCAUUUGUGAAUACAGAGAGGCCUCAGAGCAAAUGGUCUGCUAAAAGACGUAAGGAACAUGAGAGAUUGGAGCAGUUGGCAGUCUUACAGAAGUCAAUCAACUAUACCUCAGUAUCAGAUCAUGAAAGAGAUAAAAGCUUUCAUCAGAUGUCUAAUGGACAAGAAAAGGGAGCAUCUCAAACUAAUGGAACGCCUACUAAAGCCAAAAAGAAGAUAAAAAUGGCACCGUUAUCAGAGCCUUUUUCCAUCGCUAGAGUACAACCACCAUGCCAGCCAUUUUAAAAUCCCCAAACCUUUCAUCCGAGUGGAGUUUGUGCGGCGAGAAUCCAAAGUUUACAGUCAUGGCGGAAAUUGAACCAAACACACAGAGCAUUGAUCUCAAUCUGGUAUCAAGAGUAGAAGAACUCAAAGCUCUGACUUUCUUUACAUCCAAGACUUCAGUGUGGGAUCACAUCAAAGGCAGCUUGUAUUAUAAGAGGUCUUGUAAUCUAUCAUUGCCUUGUCCCGUUUUGGGAAUACACAAAGCUUCUGAUUUUGACACCAAAUCUAUUUCUGUGACCACGCAACUAUCAAAGAAGCUUGACAACACAAAGCCAAUUAAACCCUCAGUUAAUUUCUCUAAAACAUCCAUUCAGCGACCUAUGGAAGACGUGCAUAGUUCAAGAUUGCCAUGUGUCAGAAGUUUGGGAUGGAAUCCAGAGAUAAUGACAUCCUUUAGGGUCCUGUUCUCCACUGAACCUUUCAGAAACUCCUCUAAUGAUAAUAUGUGGACGAAGCGUCUGUUUUCUGAGCCAACAUCCCAUAGUGAAGGUGAUGCUUGAUUUUCAAAGUAUGUGAUGAGUUUAGCUAACAAACAAUGCCUUGGGAAAAAACAAGAAUCAAUUUAACAAUUUGGAGUCUUGCAGUCUUCGAAUGUCUACUACAUUUUUUAAUAUGCAAACUAGUGUUUGCCAUUUUGAAAAGUAAAUCACUAUCCUACAAAACAUUUUAAGUGAGAUUAUUAGACUGUUAAUUAAAUAUGAACCACAUUCCAUUACCUUAGAUUUACAUUUGGCUACCAUGAAACUAAAAUGCACAGUCCUCAGGCUGAUAGUGAAAGAGCUACACUUACAUCAGCUUGGCUGGACAAGGGCCAUUGGUCCAUUAGAGUGCCCCUAAUACAGCGAAAGUUUGCAGAUGUGAGAUUAAAAGAACUUGGUAUCUGGCUUGGAGACCAAAGUCCAAAAUCACCCAGAGAGUUUGGGACUGUGCUGAAGCAAGGUUGGCAGUGGUACUACACAAAGUACAUUGAUAUUCGUAGAGGAGGAAUUGGUGGCAUAUCUCUACUUUUAGCUGGCUACUGUGUCCUGUGUUACAUAUGGAGAUACCCAGAUCUCAAGAAAGAACGUUGGAGAAAAUACCAUUAGGAAUAUUUGGUGUUUGUAGAAUGUAGAGUCCUUUAGAAAUUAGGGUUUAGUUUCUGCUUCACUCCGAAUUUGAAGUUUGCAGCCUUUUUAUUAGACACGUGCAAGAACGUACUGUGACUAAAAAUACUUCUACUAUGAAUUAUUAAGGUUGAUGAGAAAAAAAACCUAUCUGAAAGUAUUUUUUAUGCUCAUUUAUAUGGAAGGAAUUCAUGCAAUAAACCUAAAUGAAAAUUUGUAGAAUUGUUUAUUUUGUAAUUG